ACGAACGCUGGCGGCGCGCUUAACACAUGCAAGUCGAGCGAUGAAAUUUCGACAGAUCCCUUCGGGGUGAAGAUGAAAUGGAUUAGCGGCGGACGGGUGAGUAACACGUGAGUAACCUGCCUUUGACAUUGGGAUAGCCUCGGGAAACUGGGAUUAAUACCAAAUGACACUAACUGAUCACAUGAUCAAUUAGUCAAAGAAAUUCGGUCAAAGAUGGACUCGCGGCUGAUUAGCUAGUUGGUGAGGUAACGGCCCACCAAGGCGACGAUCAGUAGCCGGCUGGGAGGGUGGUCCGGCACCAUUGAACUUGGAACCCGUUCCAAAUCCUACGGGAAGGCGGAAUGGGGGAUAAUGGAACAAGGGGGAAACCCUGAUGCAGCGACGCCGCGUGAGCGAAGAAGGCCUUCGGGUCGUAAAGCUCUUUUAUGAGGGAAGAUAAUGACGGUACCUCAAGAAAAAGCCCCGGCUAACUACGUG
This 477-nucleotide ribosomal RNA is filed under the name uncultured bacterium. RNAcentral describes it as "partial 16S ribosomal RNA". It matches the Rfam family "Bacterial small subunit ribosomal RNA", at positions 29 to 507 of the family's 1533-position model. The record is from RNAcentral.